GCAGUGCAAACAACCCCGUUUCUCACCGACCACCGUUAGUCAAGCGUGACUGCGCUGCUGGUUUUACUGCUAUAUCGGAAAACCCCUCCAGUAGAUAACUGAACACGUGCAAAGGUUUUUUGAAAUAACAGGAUGACCAACCUAGUGAAUUUGGAGACUAACCAAGAUAGCUAUUGAAUCUGCGAUGUAGCUAAGCGGGUCUCUUAAUGGAAGGGCAUGCUCGAGGAGCAAAUAGGCAGGACUGAUCGGUCUAUGAGCGAAAUCUCAGAAGAAUCAAUUCGGUCAGAUCAACAGAGAUGCAUGGAAAUGCUGAAUGAUUCAAUCGCAAGAAAGGAGACAAGUACUAUAUCAUUAUCAUAUACAAAUAUGAGAAUGUAUUUAAACCUCACACAAAGGUGCCUAAUUUCUCUAAGAGUUUGAUAGGUUUGCUCAAGCGUACACAUUGUAAAUACAA
Varroa destructor (honeybee mite) is the source of this 454-nucleotide long non-coding RNA. RefSeq lists it as uncharacterized. NCBI's taxonomy places the organism in Eukaryota, Metazoa, Arthropoda, Arachnida, Mesostigmata, Varroidae. The record is from RefSeq and is a predicted model, not a curated record.